UACAGAGGGUGCGAGCGUUAAUCGGAAUACUGGGCGUAAAGCGUGCGUAGACGGUUUCGUAAGUCGGGUGUGAAAUCCCCGGGCUCAACCUGGGAAUUGCAUUCGAAACUGCGAGGCUAGGGUACGGAAGAGGGAAGCGGAAUUUCUGGUGUAGCGGUGAAAUGCGUAGAUAUCAGAAGGAACAUCAGUGGCGAAAGCGGCUUCCUGGUCCAGUACCGACGUUCAGGCACGAAAGCGUGGGGAGC
This 245-nucleotide ribosomal RNA is filed under the name uncultured Ignatzschineria sp. RNAcentral describes it as "partial 16S ribosomal RNA". It matches the Rfam family "Bacterial small subunit ribosomal RNA", at positions 524 to 769 of the family's 1533-position model. Lineage: Bacteria; Pseudomonadati; Pseudomonadota; Gammaproteobacteria; Cardiobacteriales; Ignatzschineriaceae. The record is from RNAcentral.